AAAUAUUUCGAGCAAGUGAUUUUUCUUUAUAAGAAAAAUUAAACAGGGAAGCCGGUGUGAAUCCGGCGCGGUCCCGCCACUGUAAAUGGGGAGUUUUUGCCAUAUCCACUGAGGAAACUUGGGAAGGAGGCAAUAAACGAUGAACCUAAGCCAGGAGACCUGACUGCUCGUAUGCUUUAAC
This 181-nucleotide non-coding RNA is filed under the name Desulfosporosinus lacus. Lineage: Bacteria; Bacillati; Bacillota; Clostridia; Eubacteriales; Desulfitobacteriaceae. The record is from RNAcentral.